Molecule: ribosomal RNA, 492 nt
Filed under: uncultured bacterium
Lineage: Bacteria
Description: partial 16S ribosomal RNA
Rfam family: Bacterial small subunit ribosomal RNA
Source: RNAcentral
AGUGAACGCUGGCGGUAGGCCUAACACAUGCAAGUCGAACGGCAGCACAGUAAGAGCUUGCUCUUACGGGUGGCGAGUGGCGGACGGGUGAGGAAUACAUCGGAAUCUACUUUUUCGUGGGGGAUAACGUAGGGAAACUUACGCUAAUACCGCAUACGACCUACGGGUGAAAGCAGGGGAUCUUCGGACCUUGCGCGAUUGAAUGAGCCGAUGUCGGAUUAGCUAGUUGGCGGGGUAAAGGCCCACCAAGGCGACGAUCCGUAGCUGGUCUGAGAGGAUGAUCAGCCACACUGGAACUGAGACACGGUCCAUACUCCUACGAGAGGCAGCAGUGGGGAAUAUUGGACAAUGGGCGGAAGCCUGAUCCAGCCAUACCGCGUGGGUGAAGAAGGCCUUCGGGUUGUAAAGCCCUUUUGUUGGGAAAGAAAAGCAGCAGGUUAAUACGACGCUGUUCUGACGGUACCCAAAGAAUAAGCACCGGCUAACUUCGUG